Molecule: ribosomal RNA, 206 nt
Filed under: uncultured bacterium
Lineage: Bacteria
Description: partial 16S ribosomal RNA
Rfam family: Bacterial small subunit ribosomal RNA
Source: RNAcentral
CUCAGUUCGGAUUGGAGUCUGCAACCCGACUCCAUGAAGCUGGAUUCGCUAGUAAUCGCGCAUCAGCCACGGCGCGGUGAAUACGUUCCCGGGCCUUGUACACACCGCCCGUCAAGCCAUGGAAGCCGGGGGUGCCUGAAGUGCGCUGCCGCAAGGAGCGUCCUAGGGUAAAACCGGUGACUGGGGCUAAGUCGUAACAAGGUACC